Long non-coding RNA from Cephus cinctus (wheat stem sawfly), 2830 nucleotides. RefSeq lists it as uncharacterized. The transcript has 3 exons. The record is from RefSeq and is a predicted model, not a curated record. NCBI's taxonomy places the organism in Eukaryota, Metazoa, Arthropoda, Insecta, Hymenoptera, Cephidae.
UAAUAUUUCACGGAGACACGUUCAUCCAUCGAUCGUCGCUUUUCUUGCAUAAUUAAUUCGACGGCGUCCAAGGCGUCCUCUUACCAGCCCACAUUGGCAACUUCUUCCCUCUAGACUGUAAGACAGACCCCCUUGGGUUUCCUGACCAGGCAAAGGUCUCACGGUGCUCUAAGAUUCCGCUAUGAUCACUUUGAGGCUAGGUAUCAAAACUCCGAACUUACGGGGUACGGCUUACUGGCUUAGGGACGCUAUCGCGUUGCCUGAAGUUGCCAAGGGACGUGAGUAAGUUGGGCGUGAACCACGUUGAAAGUUGAGAGUUCGAUUGUCAAAAAGAAUAGAGCGUGAGGACUUGUCCGGUAGAUGCCUAAAUACUUGCCAGGUCAGAGGCGAACGAAGAGAAGACGGAUGUUGCUCGACGGAAGUAGGAGCUGGAAAGGAGAUACGACCAAGAAGUACGAGAGCUUACGAGCAAUGAUAAUCGAAAGUAACGCGCUAUGUCCUACCAGGUGAGCAACGACGAAGAAGGAUGCUGUUGGUGAGAAGGUAGACGAGCUGGUUAUUCUGCGCAUGCGCGAGUACAUAGGCAUACACCAUAAUAAUUGCAACCGUGAUAUUCGCUUGUGCAACGUAAUCAGCAUAUAAGAGAGGCACCUGGGGAAUGCGACCUUGACGCCUUUCGGGGAGGUGACCUCUUGGGAAAGAGCGCGUACCUAACCUAACCUAACCCGUCGUUUACCUCAACGGCGAUAGGAUGCCAAGGCCUGCGUCGUCAGUGCAAGACAGGUGGAAUGUGCACCUAACUCGGGGAUCAAUCGAAUAUCUUUUUUCACUAACACGUCGCUCGAUCAAGGAAUUGACUAGUAGGCAUACACUUUUGACUGUGACCUUUGACCUUAUUAUACAGUCAUACUAUAAACAUACUCUAUACGUGCAAGGCUAUUCAGGACUAUUAUACCACUUGAAGUUAGCUUCAUUUGGUUUACAUCGAUUCUUGUGGUACAACCAUCUUGGGGUGAUGCAAUAGUACCCGAUAACACUGUAUGUGUGUGUGUCUGUUUAUAAGGUAUAAUAAUUUUUCUAUGAUUUUCAUACCGAAAAUUCAUUUGUUAUUAUAAAUUGUGUAACAAUGUUACACAAUAUAUUGAUUGUGCGUACAGCCAAUGUCUGACGAUUGUUAAGCUAAUUGGCCGUAACAUAACAGACUGGAUAUUAAUAUUGAUUUAUCGAUUGCACAUCAAGGGAAUAGUAACUGUGUCGCCGACUGUGACGACAAAUGUAGUAAACUUUGGGCAAUAACCUGGUAAAUGAUUCAAUGAUUUUUUUACAGACUUCUGUAGUCCCUUUGUUCUCUUUUUAAAUAGCUUGAAGCGACAGAAAUUUUAGUAAAAUUUCUUUCCAACUCGUUGAUAAAAUUGGUAUUUUUCUUAUUGCUUCAUUACGAAUCGCGAAUAUAAUUUUAGUCGUAGCUUAACACGUGUCACAAGUCUGAUCGACAUACUUAAAGGUCCCAGCUAAGCCGACCAAUUUCAUUAAGUCCAGAAUCAACCUACACGACUUUACGAAAAGCUUCUCGUGCUCGAUGCAAACCGCAGAUAUUUCCAAGAUACAAGUCACAAGCUUAAAUUUGAGCAAAAAUCCCUCUGAAAUAUCUCCAGACCGUAAACAAUACCCUCGAUAAGAAAACUCAAUAUAAAUCCUCUAUAAUACACAAGCACUGAUUGGAUUUUUUAAUAUUGACUAUACAGAAAAAAAUGGCUUUCUUAGAAGCAAGUGAAAGCAACGAAAUUUCACACGACUAGCUCGUACAGCCAAGGAUCGUUUAUCCAAUUUGGUUUAUGAUAUCAGCAUUAUUACGUUGAUUAUUAUAGCGCAACUGAAUGCUUAACAUAAAAAUCCAGUUUUUGUCCCAAAAAGAGAAAAAAAUUCGUCGGAGAACAGGAAUCGUCGUAUAAUACGGAUACACACACUAGGUAUCCACGUACAUGAGUAAACUUUUACAAGGCACGACACACAGCCGCACACACAAUAUUGACACUGCAAUAUAAAUGUCAUAGAGGCAGCAUGUGUGCCCUCGCAUGAUCACGUGUAUGUACACGCACCAAACUUAGCCGUGCCAUAUCACACAUGCGUGGUAGCGUAUGGCAUAUAGGCAUAUGUGUUCAUGGCAGCGAGCGAGGUGGCAGUAGUAACCCAUAUAUUAUGCAAACUAGAAUCGAGCUGGAAAUACGUUGGCGAGGAGUCGUACCGAAGGAACGCAUAGUGAGAGUCCUUGAAGAAAACCAAAAGAAGAGAGAAAGGAGGGGGGGGGGCGGUUCGGAAAGAAUUUUGCAAGGAAAAAUCACCUAGGGGAUGAUUUAGGAUCAACGAGUACGAGGAAGCAGUAUAGCGACGUGCGUCCAAGUUCUCGUUGAUCACAUGGAUGAGGAGGAAGUGCUGAGGUUUUUACUACCUGUUACAUUUAUGCGGCUGAGGACAAGACCAAGCGGUUUUAUAAAUAUCGUUGUGUCGUCAGAGAAUUUCGAAAGUCAGAGACAGAGAGAGAGAAAGAGAGAUAUGGUUGAGCUGUAGGUUUGUAUUUCAGGAAUUUCGGGAUGACCGAAAUAAAGGGAGACAGGAAUGGAAUGAUCAUCGAGCAGUCGGUUCCUUCAGGUCACAGCGUAGAAUGGAAAAGAGAGAAUCAACAGAAUUGUAUAUAAAUGUAUUAAUAAUAUAAUAAAUUUAUAUUAAAUAUCUCUGGUGAUUCCCAAAAAUAUCAUAGCUAACGUAUCCGGUCGAUUUCCACAAAGAGAAUCAUGGCUGUAUUCAUUCUUGGCGACAAGUUCGUUCAAAG